ACGUUGAUGACGUCAAUGUAUCGCGAGAGCGAGUCAAGAAUUACACUCUCGCGGUACAUUGACGUUAUCAACCUGUCAGCGCAGCAAGAAGUCGAACACACGUAUUUGCGGGCGCGCGCCUCCGUCCUCGUGAGUUCAAAGUGGAUUUUAACCGUUUACCUCAGACGACAGUUUUCAUUUCUAUGGCAAAUUCUAAGGUCAUUUUCUUGUUGUGUUUUGAUGUUUUCCAUUGGCUGAAGAAUGAGCCUGAAGAGGAGAUUUGGGAAGAUGCUGUUUAUAAGUCUUUGCUUUGCCAGAUCACCUGUGGUCGAGAUGUCUGCUAACAAGAUGCCUUGUUGGUCUGGGCGAGUUUGAAGUCUCUCACAGACAGUCCAGAAGGUCUGGAGUCCAUCUUAGCUUUUAUUGAACCCAUCAGCAACCAUCAAGAGAAAUUGGAGGCAGCUGAGCUAAAUUGCAGAUAUUGAUGCAAAUGAUCUGUAUAAUGUAAAUAUAAUAUUUAUUUUUUCAUACAUUUGCAGAAGUUUCUAAAAUUCAGUUUUUACUUUGUCAUGGGGUAUGUAUUGUAGAUUUAUGAGGAAAAUAUCUAAACAAUUACAGUAUCAUGCAACCACCUUAAAAUUUAAAUGUGAAAGGGGUCUACCCUGAAUACUUUCUGAAUGCACUGUAGGUGAUCUUGAUUGAAGAUUAUUGUCACCGUAAACACAACAGCUUUCUUCCUUCAUCAGAUGGCUAUGCUAUGUUUCUAGACAGACCAUUAAAGAACACACACACACCCUGAUGUGCAAUAACAAGAUUUUUUUUAUACAUGGGCUAAAAAUGCAUCAUUUUUGAAAAUGAAAUAACUUUUGUUUUCUCUUUAGAUGCUUUCAUCGGGUUUUAAGUACAGUAUGAGCCAGAAUGGAAGGGUGUUGGUGGCCAUAAGAAGACUGUGAGCUAAACCUACAACAAAAUUCAUAU
Long non-coding RNA from Paramisgurnus dabryanus, 957 nucleotides. RefSeq lists it as uncharacterized. NCBI's taxonomy places the organism in Eukaryota, Metazoa, Chordata, Actinopteri, Cypriniformes, Cobitidae. The record is from RefSeq and is a predicted model, not a curated record.